AUUGAACGCUGGCGGCAUGCCUUACACAUGCAAGUCGAACGGCAGCAUGGGUGCUUGCACCUGAUGGCGAGUGGCGAACGGGUGAGUAAAGCAUCGGAACGUACCCGGAAGUGGGGGAUAACGUAGCGAAAGUUACGCUAAUACCGCAUAUUCUGUGAGCAGGAAAGCAGGGGCUCGUAAGGCCUUGCGCUUUCGGAGCGGCCGAUGUCGGAUUAGCUAGUUGGUGAGGUAAAGGGUCACCAAGGCGACGAUCCGUAGCGGGUCUGAGAGGAUGAGCCGGCACACUGGGACUGAGACACGGCCCAGACUCCUACGGGAGGCAGCAGUGGGGAAUUUUGGACAAUGGGCGGAAGCCUGAUCCAGCCAUGCCGCGUGAGUGAAGAAGGCCUUCGGGUUGUAAAGCUCUUUUGUCAGGGAAGAAAUAGCUUGGGUUAAUACCCUGGGCGGAUGACGGUACCUGAAGAAUAAGCACCGGCUAACUACGUGCCAGCCGCCGCGGUAA
RNAcentral lists this ribosomal RNA (502 nucleotides) under uncultured bacterium. RNAcentral's name for it is "partial 16S ribosomal RNA". It matches the Rfam family "Bacterial small subunit ribosomal RNA", at positions 29 to 523 of the family's 1533-position model. The record is from RNAcentral.